UAGCCGUAAACGAUACUCGCUAGGUGUCGGCCACGGUGCGACCGUUGUCGGUGCCGUAGGGAAGCCGUGAAGCGAGCCACCUGGGAAGUACGGCCGCAAGGCUGAAACUUAAAGGAAUUGGCGGGGGAGCACAACAACGGGUGGAGCUUGCGGUUUAAUUGGAUUCAACGCCGGAAAUCUUACCGGGACCGACAGCAACAUGAAGGUCAAGCUGAAGACUUUGCCGGAUUAGCUGAGAGGAGGUGCAUGGCGUCAGUGACU
RNAcentral lists this ribosomal RNA (261 nucleotides) under uncultured archaeon. Its description in RNAcentral is "partial 16S ribosomal RNA". It matches the Rfam family "Archaeal small subunit ribosomal RNA", at positions 748 to 1008 of the family's 1478-position model. The record is from RNAcentral.